This 251-nucleotide ribosomal RNA is filed under the name uncultured prokaryote. Its description in RNAcentral is "partial 16S rRNA". It matches the Rfam family "Bacterial small subunit ribosomal RNA", at positions 525 to 775 of the family's 1533-position model. The record is from RNAcentral.
ACGGAGGGUGCAAGCGUUAUCCGGAUUUAUUGGGUUUAAAGGGUGCGUAGGCGGUUAUAUAAGUCAGAGGUGAAAUUUUUCGGCUCAACCGGAAACAUGCCUUUGAUACUGUAUAACUUGAAUAUGGUUGCUGUGAGUGGAACUUGUAGUGUAGCGGUGAAAUGCUUAGAUAUUACGCAGAAUAUCGAUUGCGAAGGCAGCUCACAGGUCCAUUAUUGACGCUGAGGCACGAAAGUGUGGGGAUCAAACAG